Molecule: long non-coding RNA, 483 nt
Organism: Oncorhynchus nerka (sockeye salmon)
Lineage: Eukaryota; Metazoa; Chordata; Actinopteri; Salmoniformes; Salmonidae
Exons: 3
Source: RefSeq, a predicted model, not a curated record
AACCACACCUUUGGUAAUCAUCAAUUUAAGGCCAGGUGUGUCUGGCUCACACUUUUAAUCAGUUUGUUGUGAGGCAAGUCAAGUUGAUCUAUUGUUCUGGUGUACAGGACCAAUCGGGUUGUUUGAUGAAACAAAGCUUCAGAUGUCAAUGAUCAUGUGCUUCUGAAAGUGAUACAGGCAUCGGCACACUGCUUUGAGUUUAGGUAUGGCAGCAACACAAUUUGAAAAUGGACCACAUGUGGCAGCGGGGCACAUUGGGCCACACCAGCCAGUUCCUCAGCCCAACCCUGGCACAUGGCACCCAGUGCAUGGACCCGAAGGAUCAGGGCCCCAUCUAACCGAUCAUCAGCCCCAUCCUCAUGUGCACCAGUCUCGACCCUACUUCUAUGUGCAGCCCCCUCCUCCUCUCCCCCUCUACCACUACCAGUGGCCCAUGCCCUACAACCCCUGCUCUGGAUUUCCAGGAAUGGCUAAGUUUAAAUG